Molecule: non-coding RNA, 73 nt
Organism: Podarcis muralis (Common wall lizard)
Lineage: Eukaryota; Metazoa; Chordata; Lepidosauria; Squamata; Lacertidae
Source: the annotation of a RefSeq genome assembly
GCGUGAAUAGCUCAGUCGGUAGAGCAUGAGAUUGUAGAUCUCGAGGUUGUGGGUUCGAGCCCCACGUUGGGCA